UUUAGUGCUUGCUUCAGCAGCAUAUUAAAACACAUUAAAAAUUGUAACAUACAGAGAAGAUUAGCAUAGCCCCUGCACAAAGAUGGCAUACAAAUUCUCAAAGUGUUCCACAUUUCA
Molecule: small nuclear RNA, 117 nt
Organism: Cricetulus griseus (Chinese hamster)
Lineage: Eukaryota; Metazoa; Chordata; Mammalia; Rodentia; Cricetidae
Source: Ensembl